This 775-nucleotide ribosomal RNA is filed under the name uncultured Neocallimastigales. RNAcentral's name for it is "partial large subunit ribosomal RNA". It matches the Rfam family "Eukaryotic large subunit ribosomal RNA", at positions 23 to 620 of the family's 3401-position model. Lineage: Eukaryota; Fungi; Neocallimastigomycota; Neocallimastigomycetes; Neocallimastigales. The record is from RNAcentral.
AGAGAGAGACAUGCGCGCAUAUCAAUAAGCGGAGGAAAAGAAACUAACAAGGAUUCCCUUAGUAACGGCGAGUGAAGCGGGAAGAGCUCAAAUUUGAAAUCUUCAAGGUAUUACCUUGACGAAUUGUAGUUUAAAGAAGUGUUUUCUGCUGAAGUUUUGGUAAAAGUUCUUUGGAAUAGGACAUCAUAGAGGGUGAGAAUCCCGUAUUUGACCAUUAUUUUCAGCUUUGUGAUACACUUUCAAAGAGUCGGAUUGUUUGGGAAUGCAGUCCAAAAUGGGUGGUAAAUUUCAUCUAAAGCUAAAUAUUGGCGAGAGACCGAUAGCGAACAAGUACCGUGAGGGAAAGAUGAAAAGAACUUUGAAAAGAGAGUUAAACAGUACGUGAAAUUGUCAAAAGGGAAGCGUUUGACACCAGUGUUGUUUUCUCGAAAAUCAAUUAAAAAUGGCUCGAUUUUGUAUUGCUUGAGACCUUAAAAGCUCACUGUACAUUUUUCGUGUCUUUUUUAAUGCACUUUUCGUUUAACAAGUCAACAUCAGUUUCUUUUGUUGUAAAAGGGUCAUUGGAAGGUGGCUUUCUUUUCGGAGAAAGUGUUUAUAGCCUUUGGCCUCUGCAAUCGGAGAGACUGAGGUCUGCAGCGUAGACUCUUCGGGGUUAGAUACAUUUGUGCUAAGUUAUAGCUUUUUAUAGACAACUUGUUGACUAUAAUUAGUCUUGUAGCUUACUCGCUUAUGCUAUUUUACCUACGCUUAGGAUGUUGAAGAUGUAGCACAUCAU